Molecule: long non-coding RNA, 36898 nt
Filed under: Arabidopsis thaliana (thale cress)
Lineage: Eukaryota; Viridiplantae; Streptophyta; Magnoliopsida; Brassicales; Brassicaceae
Description: long non-coding RNA (ATHA_LNC000642)
Source: RNAcentral
GUAACUAGAGUUCACAUAAGGAUUCAAAAAUCCUCCAGCAAGUGAAACGAGAUUUUCUCGGGAAAAUCGCAAUUCGAUUUGAAUUGAAUCAGAGAUUUAAGAUUAACGGCUAAGUUACUAGUCACCACCAAGCUCUAGACAGAAACGCACGAAUUAAGAUUGGCAGUAGAAUAGUUUAGAAGAAGAGAUUUUCUCACCCAAAAGCUCGCUCUCUAGGUGAAAUGGCGGAAAAAUGGAAGAAGAGGGAGGGGCUUGAAGAAGACACGUGGAUUCUUAUUGUGGAUAACAGUCUCGAGUAAUCACCCGGUCAUUACCCGGUUUAAUGAUUACUUCCCGGUUUUAAUUGGUUAACUCGAUAUUUUUCGAUCAAAAAAAAUUGGCGCCUAAAAUUGCAAGAAAAGUAGUAUUAGUGUACACUAGUAAAUAGUAGAAUACAAUUACAUUGGUAAUAUAUGUUGUAAACUAGACAAUGUUCUAUAAGUCGGUUUAAUUGUCCAUCCAUCUUCUAGGCAAUCGAAACUUCAAAAUCAUUUGGAUAUCUUAAUUUUGGUUUAAUCCCAUGAGCUAGCUUCUUUUUUAGCUGUCUACCAUUUUUUUUUUCUUUGAAUGUAUCUACCAAAUAUGGAACAUUAUAUCAUGUCUCGUAUUGGAAUAGUUGAUACAAAAUUCAAUAAUUAGAACUAGCUACAAUAUAGUCUUUUGUUUGGGGUAAAAGCUACGAAAUCUAGUGGUCUAAUUGUCUAAAUGAGGUAAAAAUUAAAAGUCCAGUGUAUUUUGAAAUUGUAAAUUUAUCACCGAAAAAUGUAAAAAGCAAAAGAGAGAUUACGAAAAGAGUGACGGAGAUAACGGGAAACCGUACCGCCGUUUGCAGUCUGAAAUGCUGAAGCUGACGUGACGUGUGGUGUGGCGUUUGAGAAAUAACAUCGAGUUUUUAGGGGUAAAUAGGUCUUUAUACUUCUUUCUGUUCCUAACAGACAGACGCUUCAAGGAAACACAAAAAGAAACAAAAAAAAAAAAAAAAACCUUUUUAGCUUUUUCUUUCUUCUUGGCGAGUUCGCGACCUUGGUCGGAAAAUCAACAAUCGCUUCUCUGCAAUCGCAUUAUCGGCUCUAAUGGCAGACCCAGAGGUACAAUUACCUUAAACCCCCUCAAUCUCCUCCUCUCACGAGUUCAUUUUUUUCGAUUUCGGAUUUUUCUUCGUUUAGUUUCGUUCUGUUUCUUCUAGACCUUGUUUCUCUUAUCGGACAGAAUCUUGUUGCUGAUUUCGCUAAUUUUGUUUAAAUUUUGGGUUUCACGAUGUGGGUUUUGUCUUGCUUUUCUUUUCGGGGUUUGCGAUGAUUUUUUGUUCGUUUUGUUUUGGGUUAACACAGACCUUAGCGGCGUUGAAGAGAGCCUACGCCGAUACGAUACUGAACACGACGAAGGAAGCGGCGGCACGUGUGAUGGUUUCUGAGAAGAAGGCGCGUAGGUAUCAGCAAGAACUUGUGACGGUUAGAAAUGAAGCACUUCAUACGUUGGUUAGGCUUAAACAGAUGCUUGAUUCCAAGGUACUAUCACUUUGUUCUUAUUUUCAUUUGUUUAUGGGUUCUUGGUUUGUUUUAUUUGGUUUCUGCCUGAUUAUGUUUUUGGGGUCUUAGAGGCAUUUCUUUUUUCUUGCUUCAUAUGAAGAUGGCUUUUGAAAUUAAGUUUUUCAGCCUUGCUUUCAUGGUUUUAAGCAUUGUUAAUGUUGUGUGUGUGUGUGUGACUCUGAGUUUUGUUUAUUCAGUCUUUGACAUUUGAAGUGACUAAAAUCUUCCAUCAUUCAAAUGAUAUGCUUCGAGACUAUCAUUUUUGCUAUGUUUUUUCACUACAUUCACUUCAUUGAACGUUGAUACAAGCCAUUGUUUUUGACACUCUUGAGACUAUUACAUUGAUACUUUGCAGAUAUAGCUUUUCUCUUCCUCCAUUGAUAUUUGUUCAUGAAACCUAAGGCCUAAAACUAAUGAGCGUAACCAAGUGUAGCUUAGUGUCAGCAAGUUCUAGAUUCGUUGUACCAUUGUUGGCAGUGAGGCUUACACAUAUUUCAUGGCUUAUGCUCUCAAUUCUCAUUUCAUCGUGAAAUUUUUAAGUUAAAGGUUUUUCAGUGUGGGGGAUAUAGCUUUUUCAUCUUAGAGACUGUAUCACGUUUGCUUGAGGAUGAGCUUUCCCUAAUGGAGUAUAUCUUUCUUUUGUGGCUGGCUUUGCGUUUCCUCCUCAACUCUAAUUUUUAAAAAACCGAUUUGUGUUUAUAGGUUAAGGAGACAGAGAUGCAAUCCUUGAAGCAGCAACAGAAGGUUGAGGAACUUGAAGCUCAGCUUGGAGAAGCUGAAGAUAUUGUAGGAGAGCUGAGGUUGGAGUUGAGAGUACUUCACGAUGAGCUCAAGAAACUUACGGAUGGUCAGAAACAUCUUAAAAAGAAUCAUGAGGAAAACCUCUGUUGGAAUAACCGUGAUGCUGCAGUUUCUGUAAUGCCUGAGGUUUCUUGCAGUCACGAGAACACAGAAGCUGUAGGUUUUUGCAUCCCAGUGGAACAAAAUGGAUCAGUGGUGGCUAAUGGGAUAAAAGUACCGUCUUUGACUCGCAUAAAUAGUAUUAACCGGUGUUCUUAUAAAGAUAACAAGGAUCAAUGUCACUACACUCUUCCAUCUAUACUGACAAAACGCAGGGAAACUGAAGGUUUAGCUCAGAUGAUCCACACAGUAGAUAGCAGUAUGGCCAAUGGGGUUCUGUCUUCCUCUGUAGAAGUAGGAGAUGUGAAUGAUGGAGUAUGUCUUCACGAAGUUUCGUCUUGUAAAAUUGUAGAGAGCUUAGAAAUGUCUGGUUGUGCUGAUGCUACUGACUCCAUAUCUUCUGUUAAAGAUGGAGAAGCCCCAAUAGUGUCUCCAAACUCUUCUCAGAAGGAUGUCGGCACUCUUAUAUCCUUGAAAACAUCUCCUCCGAGGGAACAUGAAAAUGACAGAAAGCUGGAGAUUAGCGAAACAGAGGCAAGGAAGGAAGAAAAAGAGAGCUGUGAGAAUAUGGAGGUUUCUGCAUCUCCUUUGUGCGAAGAAACUCCAGUUUUAGCACUGAGUAAAAAUCGGUGCAUCAAGUACACGUUCAAGAGGAAGAGAAAGAAGGAGGUCUUAAGUAAUCUUGAAGGAGAUUCCUCGUUUGAGGAGAGUAGAAACAUGAAACAGAAGACUGUUGAGAAAGACGAUGGUUACUUGGAGUCUCUGAAGCCUAGCUUUACCAGUGAAUCAUCUAGAGAUGUAGUCUAUGCUUAGCACAUGUGGCUUGGAAGGUUAGUAAAUAUCGACAUACAUCUAAUUUGCUAUAUCAUAUUAAGUUUAUUAUGUUUCCUUCUUGCCUUUAAACUUGAAAGUGUAUGGUCUAAAAACUGAUAUCAGUAGCAGUGCCCUUUUGUUGCAUUAUGGUUUUGGGUGUAAACUCUUGUCCAUUGUGAUGGGUUUAUAUAUAUAUGAUGUCCAAGAUUCUGAAUGUUCUAUGUUUCUUUAUUGUAUUUUAAUGGGCACAGCUUGUACCAUUCUCGUAGAAUAAAGAUUUGCAGCAGAACUAAUCAACCAGUAGGAUGCUCCAGCAAAAUGGUUAUAAUCAUCUAAUAUAUAAGGAUAGGUGGAAACUUUAAAAUUCUUACUUACACCUGGAUGGUGUAAGACUAAAGAGCUACCAUUGUAUUGCUUCCAUUUCGUACCUAUGUAAAUAAUCUUACGUAGAAGUCUUUAGCAAAUACUAGUUUUUGUGACUUGGUCAAAGUUUAUUCAUGGAAAUUUGGACUUGCGACCAUGAAUCAUGGACUAAAUAAGGAAAUGUUAAUCAAAUAAAUAAUUUGACUCAAGAGAUUGCGAUAUCUAUAAAUGCGAGUUUGUUCAAUCUUCUGUUUAAAAAGUUAAAGACCGUUUCAAUAUAAUUACCGGCUUUACUUCUACGUAAAGAGUAAUUAAGACUUACGGAGGACUUAUUCUUUCAAUUCUUUUGUGAAAAUAUAAGAAUUUUUAUGAUCAUAAAUAAUAUAUUAAUGAUCAUUUAAGGAAACAUGAUAUAUUUACUAAAUAAUCUAUAACAGUCUUAGAUUCAAGACAAAUAAUAUUUUUGAUUAUUUAUGAAACCCAUUAUAUAUUUUCUAGAUAAUCUUAAAAUUAAGAAUCACAGACCUUAAAAAUCAACUACAGUAAAUUGUUGAGCUGUGUUUUAAACACAGUAGAAGGUUCCCUUAAUUAAUAAUACUAAAAAGGUAACUAUUGUAUUUAGUUCCUUUAUUAUUCAAAAUUCAUUAAUUUUUUCAUUAUUUUAUUUUCUUUAUCAAUACAAACACAUUAACAAAUAUAUCUAGUUUGCUUAAUUAUUUAAAAUGCAUCCCCUUUUUUCCUAAUCUUGUUAUGGGAAAAAAACUCAGUCUACAUGCCUUGUAGUCCAAGUUUCAUUGACAGACCAAAAAAAGCCAUUAGACUAAAAAAAAUCCACUAAUUCGACGUCGUUUCAGCCAAUCAAAAAUCACCAAGGGUAUAGUUUCGUAAAUUAAAAGUCAAACCAGGGGUAGUUUCCCAAACGAGAUCCUUUAUAUACCGUGUACACACAAGCAUUUGGUUCUCCGAGCGAGAGACUGAGAAAUAGAAGGAGCGUAGCAGAGCAGUUUCCGAUUUUCAUUUCUCUCUCUUAAUCCAGAUUUAAGUAUUAGGGUUUUUUCUUCUAUCAUCGCCAUUACUCUCUCUCUCUGUUUCGCUUGUGUGUGUGUGUUGCUCAAAGAUUAUCAUCAUCAUGGUUGCUGUCACAGACUCUGAACUCUUUCAUGGCUCUCCGAUUUCAACAGAUUUCUCCAAGAAACGCAAGGUGUGUUCUUCGAAUUUCACUCCAAUCUUAAUGCGGUCGAUUCGUUUCUUGUAUCCGAGUAUGUACGCUUGAUUCAAAAGAAAAGUAUAAUCGAUCCGCGUCUAAUACCAAAUCCCCAGUUUCUGUGUGAUUCGAAGAACCGUGUUUUUCGUUGUCAUGUGGAUACCUUUUAGGGUUGAUAAUCGUCAAUUCUUAAUCUAUGCAUCGAAUCUUGUGUGCAUUUGCAGGCGAAUUGGUUUUGUAAGCUGAAGCAGUGGAAGAUUGAUGCUCGUCGCAAACAAUGGAUUUCUCAAUGUAAGAGCCUUUGAAUCUUUAAGUUUUCAAGUUUUGUUCAAUCUUUCGAGUGUUGAUGAUGAUGAAUUUGUUUGUGAAUGGUAUAGGGAAAAAAGCAAAUGUAGAUGAAGAAGAAAUUGGACGUAGAUUGAGAUCUUUGUUAGAGAAACUGACUGAUCAAAAAGCUUGGAGGAUUGAUUAUGAUGAUGAUGAGGAUGAUGAGAUUGAUCUUGAAAGGACAUCAUCAUUUGCUAGUAGUCCCACGAGUGUUCUCAAGAGGAAAGAUUCUGUUAGUGGUGAUUGCUUUUGUUGUUCUAAGCAGAUGACUGAGGAAGAGGAAGAAGUUUUUGACGAUGCUUAUGAUAACUGGGAUGGGUUUAAAGAUGCGUUAAACUCCUUUGAGAAUGAUAACAACGAAAGCUCUCGACUUGUGACAGAAGAUUUUGAGCAAGAAGAAGAAGAUCUGAUUCCAGAUACAAGCCAGAGGAUGAACAAGUGCAAGCAAGAAGCUGCACCUGGAAAUCAGACGACGAUUCACAGAAACAGUAAUAAGAAGAAGAGGUCUAACUCUGAGAAGCAAAGAGGUGAUGGUGAUGAAGAAUGUCCUAUUUGCUCUGAGUUGAUGGAUGCAACGGAUCUAGAAUUCGAACCAUGUACUUGUGGGUUUCGGAUUUGUCUCUUUUGCCAUAACAAGAUCAGUGAAAACGAAGCACGUUGUCCAGCUUGCAGGAAGGAUUAUAAAAAGACGAGUAAAAAAAGUGGAGAAGUAGGUUAUCAGCAACGUGGUCGUGGCACUAUUCCCUUGUCUCCGUCGUUUAGAGGACUUGACAGAGCUUAAGAGAGAAAGAAAGAAGUUCCAAAAGUUUCAUGAAACUUUUUUUCUAGUUUUGUCCUUAGUUUCAUCAGGAACAAGAAUUUUGUGGUUUUGCUUAAUUAGAUUGUUGUCAUCUCGGCAAUAAAUUUUCAUUCAUGUUUGUGAAUCAUAUAAUACACAUAAACCAAUAUUAGUCUUUUAUUCGAUACAUCAAAAGAUCAUUCCUUAAUAUUAGCAAAGAAAAGUUUGACUUCAUGAUGGCACAAACAUAUCUCACAAGCGGAAGAAGUAAGCAUGUCGUCGUCCUCACCAAAACGAUGACGAAAACAAUAGUUGGGAAAGAUCUCGGUUCGACCAUCGCAAUUGCAGUUCUCACGAACAUAGCUUUUUUGUAGGUGUCUCAUCAUCGGUUCGCCCCACCACCACAUAUUUCUGAUAUGUGUCCGAUGUUUUUCCAUCUCCUUGAUCGUAUUUGACAACAUCAAAGGUUUUCGUAGAGAAGACAAGAUCUUGAAACCAUUUUGUUUUGUUUUGCCACCAAGACAAAUUAGGAUCAACCCAUAAACAUAUUGUGCUUCUUGAUUUCCAUUGUUUGCAGUUUUUGCUAUAUGUUUGAGUCCUCUGUCUCGUUGACGUUCAUGACUAUCCCGAUGAAAGUAAUCGACAAGUCCUUUACGGUAUAUAGCCUCUAGGUUUCCACUCUUGCGACAUCUUUUGAAAAAAUUGUGAAAUUUUUUACGGUUGCGCCAUGGUAAAAGAGGGAUUUUAUUGAGGGAAAGCCGCUGCAGAAUGUAUCGAUCGUUGCUGAUACGUUUAAACGAUUUCGAAACUAAUUGAAGAUUGCGAAACUCGGAUAAUGAUGAAGCUGCAACACAUUAAGAGAUCUCUACAAGAAGGUCUUCAGGUAGAGAAUCUAGAGAAACAGAAACUGUCAUUCUGUGGGAAUUCUUGAAAGAAGAAAAAGUACUAUGGUUUGUUUAAGAUUGUGAGUAUUGUUUUCUCUCUUGAUUUGUUGACUCGGGUUUUUAUAACAAUGUUUAGAUUUCCUAUUCCUAAUAGGAAAAGGAAGUAAUACAAAAGUUUAGAAUAAGCCAAAAGAUUAAAAAUAAAUAAAAUCUAAAAAAGCUUUAAAAAAAAAAAGGAAAAAUACAUAAUAAUGGGAUUAAAUCCUUGUAUGGAGAACAAAUCCAAACCCUAGAUUCUCUCAUUCACCGUUCACCAAUGGGAAAACCCAAAAGGAGAAAUCAUAGGAAACCCACUAACAUCACCAUCACGUCAAUAGUAUUUUUGUGAUGAUGAAGAAUUUAUCAGAAAAUGGAAGUCAAAGACAAAGCAGAGGAAAGGAUUGUUUAAUGAAGUUGUGAGAGAUGAGAUUGGCUUUGUGUCUUGUUACUCUCCUAGUCACAUACAUAAUACAUUGAUUACGAGGUGAAUUUGAAACAUGUUGGCACACUUCCGCUUGUCUUCGUCGUUUAGAGCACCUAAAUUUACCAUCAUCCGUCCAUUAGGUCAGUAGUUAUAUUUGUGAUGAUGAAGAAGUUUCCGGUUUUCGGAAAGUGGAAGCCAAAGACAAAACCAGAGGAAAUUUUAUGAAGCUGUGAGAAAUGAGUUUAUGUUGGGAGAUCGAUGAGAUAAAAUUACCAUCAUCCGUUUACUGAAGCUGCAUUCUUAUUAUAGGAGUCUGAUGACAUAUUCCACACUCCACAACAGUUUUUGUAACUAAUUGUAACGUUGAUACUUUGUCAAACUCUUGAACACAUGAUCAUGAUGGUGCGCCAUUGUUAUCGUUCAUCUCAGCUUAACACAAUCCUUGGUAUAUCAGUUGCAUUCCAAAGGAUUCUUCUUGGAACCUUCUUGACUCUACAUUCGCUCGUAAACAAGUUUCUCACACUGCGGUGGAACAAAAACCAAGAACACAGAAACAAUCAUGACUUGACAUCAAGACAAUGCUACGUAUUGUUGAUGUACUGAGAAAAUUAUGAGUACCUUGAUGAGCAUAUCUGUUGGGAGCCAAGCUGGUGCGGUGGGGAUACCAACCCAUCCAACCUAAAGUCUCCAAAAUUCACAAUCCAUUAGCUCAUCUUAUGAAACAGAAUAAACAAUUUGUGUGGAGACUGACUUACAAGUGCAUACUCUCCUGUCUCAAAGACACGAAGGUCCAAGACCUGCAAGAUUUAGAUUACUUGUUCAAUAAGCUUGAAAUCUCUUGUGAUUUAUUUUCAAAAGGGAUUGUGUUAUACCUCGCCGCGAUCUUCGUAUAUGUAAUCAAGUCCUUUGUAGAAAGGAGGAUGUCCAACUGAUAAGUACUGUAAUUUCAACAAAUGUAGCAAAACAAAAGUUUCAGAAACAGAUUUUUGAAGAAGCAGCUUCAAAACUGGGAAAGAUUUCGACUAUACAUUGAUGCUGUUGAGGUACUUCUCUUUUUCCACACGAACGAUUUGGCCCUUCUUCACUGUUUUCUCAUCCACCAGAAACAGAAAUUCAAAAGAAUUAUCAAAAAUCUGUUAUUGGAUUCAACACUUAGAAACAAAAGUGAGGGAACAGACUCGAGUAAACCGGUUUCUUGGGGAGGGUUUUAGGGGUUUUGGUUGCAGCUGGUGAUGCUUCCCCAUCAGACUUGCCCUGUGUGCUCUGUUUCUCUUUCUCUGCUUCUGCUUUGACUGUGAAUUGAGGAAGAGAUCGAUGAGGGAGUCUUCUAGAAGAAAUUGGUAAUGAAGAGGAGAUGGUUGAAAGAGAAGAAAGCUGAGACACAGUCGCAGAGAAAGCCAUUGGAGAGACCACCAAGAAAAAAAAUUAUGUGUUCUUGGAGUUUCGGGAUAAGACCGCAAUGGUAUCCAAGUCUCUCAACGGUCUAAAACAGACAUCACUGAACCAAUCAUAAGAUGCCACGUAAGUGCAAACAAGUUUCCUCUGCUAUACAACUAGGAAUAUAGUAAUAGAUAAUGUAUUCCAACAAAGAUUAUAUUCGUUUUUUUUUGUUUUCUGAUGCUUGAAAGUUUAUGAAUUAUAAACACAUACAAGUGAAAUCGUGUAUGUCACAUGGAAGAUCAUAUACAAAAUCUUUUUACGUGUACUUUUAAAUUAUAUGUUACAUUAUAGAAUCUAAUUGAUCUGGUUGUGAAGUAGGAAACAAUAUAUAUACUGUAGGCAAAGUAUUUAAUUUUAUAAAAUUGUUUAAAUCAUAUUCACAUUGAUCUCCUUUUGUUUUAACAAAAAAAAAAAACAGAGUAAUAAGGUGAGCAUUAGAAUCUAGACUUACAUAGUUGCAUAUAUCAAAAAUAAUGUAUAUUACACAAGGAAAUCAAGAGAAAACGUGAGAAAAGAUUGAGCUCAAUCAUUUAACCCCUAGACUCUAAUUUGAUCCUCUUGGAAGAUGGAGUGUCGUCAUCAAGGGAGGAAACAUCAUGAGACGACGAUGAUGAAGAUGUUGAUGAUGAUGAUGGAGAUGAAUCAAUGUCGUUUUGUAGGAUUCUCUUAGGACUAAGUUUUUUGGUUUUUCCUUCUUCAGCUUCACCACCUCUCAUUAUAAGUUCUUUUAAACGCUUCACAUCAGCUAAUUUCACCGGUUUUAGCAAAAACUCCUCUGCUCCUUCUAUCAUACAUCUACAACAACAACAACAACAAAAGAGAGGAUAGACAAAAAAAUCAGAUUACAGUGUUAAGAUCCAUUGAUUCAGUUUUGUAUCUUUAGCUAUAGUGACUUACUGUUCUAUACGAGGUUGUAUGUUCUCAGAAGACAUUAUCACUACUGGGAUUUCUCUGAGUGCUGAAGACUCCUGGCAAAUAUACAACAGAAUUUUUGUAAGGAAAACACGAGAAGAGCUUAUUCAAAUCUUGCUCUAAUAAAUGACACAAAAUAGAAAUUUACUUUGAUCUUCUUGAGGAGUUCAUAUCCUGUUAGUCCCGGCAUUGAAUAAUCCGUCACUAUCAAGUUCACUUUCAAAUCCUGUUAUCAAAAUUUGCAAAAUUGUUCAUAUAAACGGCAUCAAUAAACAAAUAAUAAAAUCAUCCUCUAAAGGUUAAACUUUUGAUCCACAUUGUGAAACCUUAGAUUUCUUGGGAGCCAAACCAGCAUAAGAACACUUCAAGUUUCAACGUCUAGGGUUGAUUUUGCUAGAAAACAGAGAGAUUCUAAGAAAUGAAUGAAUAUAUACCUUAAGACCAGAAGAUCCAUUGUCUCCAUCUAAACCAAGAUACUGCAGAGCCCUAGUCCCACUCUCAACAGUCGUCACUAUAUAAAGAAACCCACCAAAUUUAUCCAAAAAAACGAAUCAGAAACCAAACAAAAGAAAAGCAGAAAACGUAAAGAGAAACAGUUUUGCCUUUUACCUUUACAAGCAGAGAUCUUAAGCAAUCUCUCAAUAACUUUACGAUCCACGAAACUAUCAUCAACGGCAAGAACAUGUAACUCCGGUGAAGAAGAAGAAGAUAAAGAAGAAGAUAAAUCUCUGAGAGCCAUUGUUUUCUCUCGGGAAAGUAAACAACAAAACAGAUGAAGAAACGUUUAAAGUUUGAACGUCAAAGGACGCAGAAAUCAAUGUGAAGAAGGAAGACGAGGAGUUACAUAAAUAAGAGAGAGAGAGAGAGAGAGGCAGAAGCGGUGAGUGAGAUACAUAAAUAAAUAGGAAAGAGAAAGAGGAGGAGAUUUAAGGAAAUACACAGAAGAGAAUCUGGAGGAUCGGAUCUUGAUGUUGUUGUUGUUGUUGUUAAGAUCUUGUGAGGGUCGGAAGAGAAUCUAAAGGCGAUGAGUGAUGUGUUUAUGUCUUGUCAGAAAACGUAAUAUUGUGUCUUCACGGUCAUAAUCUUUUUAGGGACCCAAUUUUCUUUGAUUUUACGAUCCUUUUGUCUGCUCUUUCUUUCUAUCUGACAAUGACUACUCUCCUCUCUUUUUAUCUUUCGUAUUCAGUAAUUACAUGUACUGUCUAUUAAUUUCUUUCACUUGGUUUCUUUUCAUUCUUUCACAUAAAAUAAAAUUUUCACUACAUUUAUGUUGGAAAAAGAGUACAUAUAUUUGUACUUUUGAAGAUUCACAAAAUCUAUAUAGAACUUAUAAAAUCUUCAUGAGGUGAAUCAAUUGAAAGUUCACAAACAUGAUUUUUUUUCUCAAAACUUUAAAAUAUAAUUAUUUUUGUAACUCAUCAAAUAAACUUUGGUGGACACCAUUACAAAAACAAACAUAUCCAUUCAAGGUUUGAUUAAUAACAUAAAACGGUACAAAAAUUUAAGCAGAUAGAGAAAGCGGUUAACGAUAUGUAAAUAAUUAAAAGUGGUAUAAAGUAACGGAUAGAAAGAACGGUGCGGUGAAAGUAUCUUUUUAAUCGCUUUGGUAUUAUUUUCAUAAUCAAUUACAACGGAUACGCUAUACUCCUACCGCAAUGCAUCAAUUAUAACCAAUAUGUUUUAGAUGGAAAGGCCUGGUUAGCAAUCGACUCUGCUGUUUGGUUUGUGAGAAUCGUCGAACUCUUCUUUGAACUCCACAAUGUCUUGUGAGACCAUUUCCAAAGAAUGCCCAAUUAGACCCAUAAACCAACUAACUCUGUACAAUCUGAAAAAGAAAGAAACGUUCCAUAAAACGGUUAAAACAUUAUUUAGCGGUAAACAAAUGUGAUACAACUACACCAAAUUACCCAAGAAGUCACUUAAAAAGACUUUUUUCAAAACAAAAUAAAACAAACCAAUCGAUGAAACGUCUUUUUAGCAAAUCGCUAUGUACUUCGGCCGCCGGAGCCAAUCUCAAACCACCGCCGGCAGAUUCCGCCGCCAUAGCUAAGCUUAUCCUCUCUUCUCCGAACACAACUCACCAAGACGAUCAAUUUCUACUCUCCACCAAAACAACCCCAUGGACCCCAAAUCUCGUGAACUCUGUUCUCAAGCGACUCUGGAACCACGGCCCUAAAGCUCUCCAAUUCUUCCACUUCCUCGACAAUCACCACCGCGAAUAUGUCCACGACGCUUCCUCCUUCGAUCUCGCAAUCGACAUUGCCGCCCGUCUUCACCUCCACCCCACCGUCUGGUCACUCAUUCACCGUAUGCGCUCUCUCCGCAUCGGUCCUUCUCCCAAAACCUUCGCAAUCGUCGCCGAGAGGUACGCAUCCGCUGGGAAGCCCGAUAAAGCGGUUAAGCUGUUUCUGAAUAUGCACGAACAUGGUUGUUUUCAAGAUUUAGCUUCUUUCAAUACGAUUCUCGAUGUGUUGUGUAAAUCUAAACGCGUAGAGAAAGCUUAUGAGUUGUUUAGAGCUCUUAGGGGAAGAUUUAGUGUUGAUACAGUUACUUACAAUGUGAUUCUUAACGGUUGGUGUUUGAUUAAAAGGACGCCUAAGGCUUUAGAAGUUUUGAAAGAGAUGGUUGAGAGAGGGAUAAACCCUAAUUUGACUACUUAUAACACAAUGCUCAAAGGUUUUUUCAGAGCUGGGCAGAUUAGACAUGCUUGGGAAUUCUUCUUGGAGAUGAAGAAACGGGAUUGUGAAAUAGAUGUUGUCACUUAUACUACUGUGGUUCACGGGUUUGGUGUUGCGGGGGAGAUAAAGCGGGCGAGGAAUGUUUUCGAUGAGAUGAUUAGAGAAGGUGUGCUUCCUUCUGUUGCGACGUACAAUGCUAUGAUUCAAGUUUUGUGUAAGAAAGAUAAUGUGGAGAAUGCGGUUGUGAUGUUUGAGGAAAUGGUGAGGAGAGGUUAUGAGCCGAAUGUGACGACUUAUAAUGUGUUGAUAAGAGGGUUGUUUCACGCUGGAGAGUUUAGUCGUGGAGAGGAGUUGAUGCAGAGAAUGGAGAAUGAAGGCUGUGAACCAAACUUCCAGACAUAUAACAUGAUGAUCCGUUAUUAUUCGGAAUGCAGCGAGGUCGAGAAAGCGUUGGGUUUGUUUGAGAAAAUGGGGAGUGGUGAUUGCUUGCCAAAUCUAGAUACUUACAACAUACUGAUAAGUGGAAUGUUUGUGAGAAAAAGAUCAGAAGAUAUGGUGGUCGCUGGUAAACUAUUGCUUGAGAUGGUUGAGAGAGGGUUUAUACCCCGGAAAUUUACUUUUAAUCGAGUUCUGAACGGGCUUCUUUUGACAGGGAAUCAAGCUUUUGCAAAGGAGAUCUUGAGAUUGCAGAGUAAAUCUGGUAGCCGGCUUCUCCGGAAGUUCAGGCUAUGAAGUUACUAGUCUGCAUGUGAUUGGGGAUAGACUCUUGCUAUGUUUACAACAAUCAAUACUUCCCCAAAGCAUUGCAUUGCAGUUAAUAGAGACUGGACCAGGAAAGGCUUCAUAGGAUUUUGCAAGAACAGUUUAUUAUCAAUGCCAAAACUACACAAGUGCUUUAUUAUUCUGGGCAAAAAUUCAGUGCCUUUUACAGUAGCUGUGUUGUGAGUAUAGAAAAUGGAAUUGAUACAAUGUUGGAAAAUUCUUGGUGUAAAUAAAUGAUACAUGUGAAUUAGUUCCCAAAUAUUUGCUUAUGUGGUUCUCCAGUAGAUAUUGAAUCAGAGGGAGAUAGUGUGGCUGCUCCCCACUGGGUUGGUUCCAUUUUUCAACUUCCGUUUUUCAGUUACAAAAUGAUCUCGUCUUGAACACUGACGUUCAGUGUCUUGUUUGGAAGAACAAUACUGCUGGUCACCACAACCUCGUCUUCAACUGCAACCGAGUCUCCUGUAACCAUUAUGUUUGAGGUUAGUUAUCUGUCUAUAAAGAGAUUUUGCUUUCUGUAUAUAAAGAGAAGGAGCUACAAUGGAGGAACAGUUUACCGAGAAUUGUAACUCCGAGUUUCGAAUUGUAGACUCCCUCAGCCUGUGAUCAACAAAGUACAACUUCAGGUUCACGAUUGUAAAGGAAUCAAACAAAAACAUUUCAAGGUCCAAAAAGAAUGAGUCAGGCUCUUAAGAGAUGAGCAGAAGAGGGAAACAUGCCUGGACGCGGGACCAUCUCCCGAUAGAAGAUUUCCACCCAACAAUUGCGUUAGUCACCACUGCAUUUUCCUGGGCAAAGAGUCACUGAAGGGUCAACCUCGAGAAAAUUUAACCGUUUUUCACUUUGUGUCUUGUAUAAGUAGACAUACCAUGAUCUCAACAUCGUCAAGGAUGAUGCAGCUCAUAAGCCUGACGCCCGGUCCAACACGAGCAUUUGCAGAGAUUGAGACGUUGGGACCAAUCUGUUAAUAGAUGAAACUUAAUGCUUUGUGAUAAAAGUGGAAUCAGAAGAAAUUGCUUCAACGAGGGACAAAACCAUAUGUAAGUACCUUUGCAGUUGGGUGAACUUUUGCAGAAGGAUGUAUGUAAACAUCACCAAUCACAAUGGCACUCCUUGUUCCAUCACCACUAGCCAACAGUUGGGGAGAUGUCAAGCGGAAUUGGGAAAGAUAGAGUCCUGAACACCUCAACGACAUCCUGUGCAAAAGUCAACUCAUAAGUCAGAGCCAUAAACACUAUCCCUGUUUCAGCUGCUGCUAAACAUUUUGUAUCCUUGCGGCUUCAAAGAAAUGAAAACACAAGGCAAGCAAUACAUACCCAGGAGAUUUGAUUUGCUCCCAGAAAUCCAUAGUCUCAUAAGUAUAUAGCCGUUUCUUCCCAGCUAGAGGUGAAAGGAUGUCUUGAUCCAGUCUUACAAAAUCUGUCGGGAUCCUAUUUUAAAGAAGUUAAAAGAUCAUUUUAAGAAGAUGAUUCGAAUGGUUUUCAAUUAUGGACAAGGAGACAAUCGACAAACCUUGUUGCCGGUUGAAGAGCUUCGAAGCUGGAAACACGUUUUAGAGUUGCUACAACAAAACAGAGGAAAAAGAUGAGAAGUCUUUAAAGAUAGAAAGCUAAGACAAGAAAACACAAAUUAUGUGUAAGAUCUUUGUUACUGCUUUACCUCUAUCUUUCCUCUGAGUAGAAACAUCUCCUAUGGCAUUAAAAAUUUCAGGUGUAAAUACAUAAACACCACAGUUAAUUCGAUCACUGACCUGUGUUUCCAAAAUAAAACAUAAGAAUCAAAGCUUGAAGAUGCUAUAAAGAUUGGGUCAUCUCAGUAAUAAAUGUACAUACAAAAGUUUCGGGUUUCUCGGUGUAAUGAAGCAGCUCAUUAGUAACUGGAUCUGCAACCAAUUCUCCAAAUUGGCUGGCUGAUUCAGGAGAGACCUAAAAACCAAAACGCAGAAGCAAAUUUGAUUGACCCGCCAAAAAAACAAAAACCAGACUAAUCAUAUACAAUCACAAACCUUGAUCACAAGAAGAGUUCCAAUUCCACCAUAUCCCCUGUGAGCCUCUGUUGAUCAAAAGUAGCAAUAGUUAAGAACGACCUUCAAAACCAUAAGAUGAGACCUCACAAGGUUUGGAUUAAUGAAAAAGAAUAUACCGAGCAUUUUGGGCAAGGGGAAACUGCAGCAAACAUCACAGUUAAGCAGGAAGAUAUGAGACUGCAAGAAGUAGAUAUAGGAACUCAGAUGUGAGAAGAAGCAUUUAGUCCAUAAAACACAAAAGAAGAAUGAUUCUAUAUAGUAAGAUCCUUGGAGACUAACCGGACUAUCUUCCAUAAUAAGAUUUCUAAAGUGAUACAGCCCACCAGCUGAACCAUGUGGUUUGUCUUCUCGCAGAUAUCUAAUUUGCAGAAUCCCAAAAAAAAAAAACAGAGAAGAAAGAUCAGAGCUACACGAAUGAGCCACUGAUACUUGAGCUGAAGCUAACGCAAAAAGAGGAGAGAUUCACUAACCUAACAGGAACUUUAAGUUCAUUAGAGAUGGCUGAAACAUAAAGUGCAAAUUCCCUUUCCUCAUAGAAGCCAACAAGAUAUAUUUGAGCUAAAUUUGGAAUCUGCAGACAAUAAGGGAUUGGUAUCAUCAUCUCUCAGUCUCUCCAGUGAUCUGAAUUGUUGAAAUCAUGAGUGAAGAAUAUUACUCUUUUACAAGCUGAAAUUGGAUGAUGCACCAUUGGUUGUCCCGCAAUAGGAAACAGAGGCUUUGGAAUAUUCAGCGACAAUGGCCGAAAUCGAGUGCCUGUGCAUCACUCAAUAACCAAUAUUUACACAGAAUCAGAACCAUAAUCAUUCGGAUACACGAAACUAAUAACCAAACAAGAGAGAAACGCAUUGGAUAUCAAAAUCUAACGGAAUUAGAUUUGAUCAAUCGAGAUUUCACAGUCAUUUGCUUUUGAGGAGGAAUCAGAAAGAAAGAAAGAAAAAAAGCAAACAUAUUUAGCGGUUACCUUUGGUUGGACCACCGACCAUGAUCACAGCCACCACUUUCUCCUCCAUUGAGCUCCCCAUGUUCAAAGCUCAGAUCUUUUUAACAGACCCACAAAACUUUGACAGAAAUUUCCCAACUUGCAGAAAAAUGGGGACAGCAGUAUCACAAUUCAGACAAAAGGAUUUGAGCUUUGAAGGAAGAUCUCCUCUGAGAAACUGGAAAAACAAAAAAAGGUGAAGUUUUUGAGAAGAUCUAAUCGAAACUGUGACAGGUUAGUUGUGGUUAUCGAGAUCUAAGAAGCUGUAUUGUUGCGGUGAUGGGGUCCCUCCAAGUCACACUCACCAUUCACCACAGUCCUUUAAGGAUAAGCGCGAGACCUCUCGUCUUUACCUCUUUUUCAGAUUUGGUUGCCAAACAUUUUACUAUUUAAAAAAUGGAAAAAAAAUCCACAAAUCUUCAGAUCUCAUAAAAUGUUUAUUUCAAGCAAUUAUAGUAAAAAAAAAAGUUAUGAUUUGGAAUUGAUUGCCAUGUGAGUUUUAACUUUGAUGUGACUUGAAGGUGACAUAAAAUGGUUCAUGUUCUUGAUACUGCUGCACCAGAGCCUAAAAUGGUGCCUCAAUACUGGCCUUUAUAGAACAACCAAUAAUUAUCAGCAAAGCAUCUUUUAUUCAUUAUAAAUUCAACAGGUUUUACAAAAGAGUUUCAGGACCGAACUAGACAGACUGAUAAUAAAAGCACAAAGAUUUGAACAGACAGCAUUUGGUUUGGUUUCCAUUUCCAUGACAAUGUAUUCAUUACUUAGUUGGGAGAUUUGUACCAUCCCCAGGGAUCGUUUGAAGUGUAGAGAGUCACUUGCUUCACACUCAAGUAGUUAUCAAGUCCCCUGAAGCACGCAAGAAACCAGCCAUAACCAAGAUUUGUUCAGUACAAGCCAUCAAGAUAUAGUCUUUUAAAAACAAGAUUCGAGAUAGAAAAAGAAAUGUACCAUUCUCCAAGUUCUCGUCCAAACCCACUGCGUUUGACACCACCCCAUGGGGCUUGGGUAAAGCAAGGCUGCGAGCAGUUAAUCCAGACAAUCCCAGCUUCAAAGGCCUAACAAAGUAGACACCAAUUGUUUGUGUUAUUUGAUGGUAUUGUUAUUUCACUUGCUAGGCAUUAAAAACAAAUCUGAAUGGUUCAAGAAACCGGUACUAACCUCGCUUAUACGGUCACAUCUUUCUGUGUCAUUAGAUAUCACUGCAGCUCCUAGUCCGUAACUGUCAUUAAUCAAUGAAUAAUUUUCAGCCACAUAAGAUCUUAAAUGAUAAAUUUGAUUUAAACACCAGUGUCAGCGGAUGGGAUUUGAUCAGAUUUCACUUUCUGGAGAAACGUUAACUUACUGAGAGUCAUUUGCUAGCUCAAUUGCCUCGUCCUCACUGGCAAAUGUUUUCACGCAAAGAACAGGCCCGAAAACUUCUUCUCUCCAUAUUUGCAUUGAAGUGGUUACAUCAGUUAUGAUGGUUGGUUCAAUGAAGAAGCCCUUUUCCAGAUGCUGUGAAAUAUAGAUAUGAUAUAAAAGGUCAUCAUCAUAGUCUGGAAGAAACUGCAUCAAGGAUAGGUAAGGGAGGGAGAUGUAAUACCUCAGGUCGGGAACCACCAUGCAAGAUCGUUGCUCCUUCACUCUUGGCCGUUGAGAUAAACUUCAAUAUCUUCUCGUACUGUAAUAUUUACAUUUGUCAGCUCAAUCAGAUUAUAUGAUCAUAGAAGAAAAGCACACCUACCAAGUAAGAACAUGAUAAGCGUGAUGAAAUAUCAUAUGCUAGAUGUGAUUUGAUUGAUGCUCUAAAAGCUAAACGGUUCAGAAUUAGAGGGACAAAAGUUAAUCACUAUACUACAGAACUCAAUUCUCUUUUCCUUUUUAGUCCUGGUUGUUGUAUUGCAACCUGAUGGGAAAUUGACAAAUAAUAUGAAGACAGAAAAAACGAUCACUGGGAUUUUACCUGUCCUUUGCUAACUACAGGACCAAGCCUGCAUCCUUCUUCCAUGGGGUCUGAAAUUUUAAUGUUCUUGCUCCAUUUUACAAGCUUCUCUAUGAACUCAGAUGCGAUGCUUUCCUAAGAUAUAAAAUAAAAAAAUUUAGACAAGAGAGUCAGCAAUUGUAUCCCUGUUGGCAUAUCCACCAGAAGGUUUGAUCUGAAAUAAAUGUCAUUGUCAUUGACCUUAAUGGAAACAUCUUCCCGUAUGACUUGGAACAUUCACUUCUCCAGUAAUAAAUAUUCGCAUGUCAUAUUGGGAAGAUCAGGUAAAACCUUAAAGCAAGUAGAAGAUUGGGACUUACGUGAACAAGAAGGCGGGAAGUUGCACUGCAGAUUUGACCAUUUGUCCAGAAGCAACCGAAAAGAGCCCAUUCAGCAGCUAUCAUUUGCCGGCGUCAAAACAUACAAAGAGUUUAAUUUUAAGAUUAAGCAAAUUUAAGUCAUGUCUACUCGUCUCAAAGCAACAAAAGCAUUAGUACUAUCUUGAAUAUAGCACAAGAAGAAGUUAUUAUAAAAAAACUCCAAAUCCACUAAACUACUUUUUGUGACAUUCACCUUUAUCAAGAUCAACGUCAUCAAACACAAUGAGAGGGCUCUUCCCACCAAGUUCCAUAGAAACAGGCUGCAACAAUGCCAUGAGUAAUGUGUCAUUGACAUUGGUGAUGAAACAAAAGGAGGAGAAGGAAUAUACAGCAGAAAGUUCAAAAAUUGGAAUUACCUUCACCAACUGAGCAGCGGCUGUCAUGACCUUACUUCCUGUGGCGAAACUUCCAGUAAAUGCAAUCUGCAACGAAAUCAUAACUUAGCAUUGAAGCGUUUAAGAAACGCAGACGUUAAACUGAAUGUUUAAUCAUAGCCUUUAGAGUUAAUUUUGUUGGGACUUAUGUUUACUGUAUUCUCAAAGACCAAUACCUUGUCCACGCCAGGAUGUGAUGCCAAAGGAGCACCAGCUUCCGAACCGAAACCAGUCAAAACAUUGAGGACCCCAGGAGGAAGACCAACUUCUCGACAAAUAUCAGCAAGCUCCAAACAAGUACUGAAUUUAGAACCAUGAGACGUGUUCAAAUAAGGACCAAUACAGAAGCAUAAGAGCAAAACAGAUUAUACACAAUUACGUACACUGAUGCCAGCUCUGAUGGCUUGAGAAUCGCAGUGCACCCUGCAGCAAGGGAAGGAGCCACCUUCCAAACAGCCAUCAAAAGGGGGUAAUUCCUUCAACAUCAAACCAGAUCCAUGAGUCAGUUUCUGGUCAUAUAAAAUAGAAUAGGUGCCAUAUAGACUCAAACAAGUUAACCACAAAAGGAAAGCUACCAUGGUGUAAUAAGUCCCACAACUCCGAGAGGUUGCUUCAGAACAUAACUCUUAAAACUCUCCAUGGGAAGCGAGACUGGUGCUUUCUGCUUAGCAUCUAAUCCUUCAGCAAGGUCAGCAUAAAAUUCAAAACAUCCAGCAACAUCAUCCUGCAAAAGAUCAAACAAACACAUUUAAGAUCAAACCUACAAAGAAAACCCUACAUUUCACAAAAACAAAAUGGAAGCAACAGUACCAUAUCCCAUACUGCUUCAUCCAAUGGUUUACCACAAUCAAGCGCCUCGAGCUUUGCCAGAUCCGUCUUUCUUUCAUUUACCUACACAUCAGAUAACAGAAGACUAAAACUGAUUACACAAAAGCCCAAACAAAACUGAGGCUUUGUCAACACAGCAUCACAAUCACAAACAUAAAAUGAAUACCUUAGCAGCAAUAGCACGUAAAUACUUAGCACGAACAGCUCCAGGUGCUUUGGCCCAAUCUUUCCCUUUAUUCCUUGAUAAUGCUCUUCGAGCAGCGUUGACAGCAACAUCCACGUCCUCCGUUGUAGCUGCAGGAAUAUCACCUAUCUCAUCCAACACAUACAAAUCCUUGGAUCAACUUCAACUAAAAUUCAUGGAAAGAAAGUAGUCGAUACAGCAAAAGAUAGUCAUGAAUAGAGUUAGGAGCAAGUAAUAUCUCCACAUCGAACUAAGAAGUAAACAAAAGUAUACAUUUUUACUUGGAUCUAAUCGAGCUGUGGCGGAUUUUGAGAAAAGCGCUUACCAAUGACCUCUUCAGUAGCUGGAUUAACGAUCGGGAUUCGCUUCUUCAAGAUGGGUUCUCUCCAUUCGCCGUCGAUGAAUAGCUGGCGAGUAGGCAUCGGAAUCGCCAUUGUUCUUAUCUGAAUCUAGAGCUCCGGAGAUGGAGUUGCUGCUGCUCACUGGAUCGUGGAUUCGUGGUGCACCGUGCACGCACUUCAAGAUUUGGACUUUAUAAGUAGCUUUCACUAAUGAAGAAGAGUAGGAGGAUCAAAACGAAAAAGCCUCUCUUUUUUCCUUGUUCUGCUGACACCAACCAGAUCAACUUUUUUUAAUUAUAACUCUUUUACUAAUCUAAUUAAAAAUGUGUAUUUAGUUCCAAAAUAAUUAAAACAGAGAUCAAAUUUUCAUAUUAUGAACAAAAAUAUAUAGAAAUUAGAAGAACUAAAAAUCAUACACAAAGUUAAUUAGAAAAGGAUUAGAGAUCUUUAAACGUCACUUUUUUGUUUUGUUUUUUUGCAAGAUAAGAGGUGAAUCAAAAUUGAAAAAGGAAAUAAACAUGUAAUAUAUUCCAAACGUUGAGUAAAAUCCUAAACCGGCAAGGAUUAGGUUCCGUAAACCUUAUAAAUAGAGAGUUCGUAUAGUCUUUGUUUUCCUCAUCAAUACUCAAAUAACUCAUCGACUUAUAUUCCUCAAUCUUCCUUCUUCGAUUUUCUUAAUUUGUGAUCUUUUGAUCGAUAAUGGCGACCACAACAACAAGAAUCUUCUCCUUCAUGCUCAUGAUGAUGAGCUUCACCGUUCUAAUGGGAUGUUGUUGCUCAGCGAAAACCUAUAAAGUUGGUAACUCGGAGGGUUGGGGGCAAUCUGUUCCGUGGGUUCUGAACAAAUAAAUAAUAGUAACAAACGAUUUUCCCAAAAUGGAAAUUGAUUAUUGAAUCUAAGGGAGACUGUUCUUACACAAGGUUGUGUCACAAGUUCAUUAGUAGUGGCUAUCUCGAGCAAAGUAUAAUGAAAGUUAGUAGUGGCCACUGGCCUUCAAUUCAAUUAUUGCUCCAUCUUGAGAAGUGGGAUUAAAAGAAGGUAACUUUUUUUAACUUAUUUGGAAAACAGAAUGCGUAAACAAAAGAGAUAGCUACUGCUCUAAAUAGUGUUCAUGUAUGAAACUUCUGUUUUGGUUCCACCUUUCUUCUUCUACGAAUCUCAAGUUAUGAUCAACAGACGACUCGCUUCUUUCUUCAAAACAGUGAGUCAUAUACUUGCUUCUUAACUUCUUAAUUAGUGUCCGCAUCAAAAAUGUCAUGAGCCUAACCAUUGAUGCAAACAUUUAUAAUAACAAUACUUAUGUGUGUCCGAUUCAACGCCCAAUAAUCUCUAAAAUACAAAAGAAGAAGUAGUCUUAAAAUUCUAGAAACAGAAGUCGCGACGAAAAUCUCAGUAUUUAAAACAAACGUGCCUAAACAAAUAGAGAUAAUCAUUCAGAUAUAAUGCAAAAAGACAAAAGAGAGUUGAAUUAAAUCACGUGGAAAACAAGGAACACGACAAAGCAGAACAGUCUCACUAUUCCCGCGUUAGCCACUCAAUACAAUCCGCCACGUGUCCCAUCUUCACGCGCCAGUCAGCGUUGAUCUUCUUCCUCACUUGCCACUUCCACUUCUUCAUAUAUAAAUCCCACACAGCCGCAAAUUCGAAAUCAACCAGAUAUAACAGAAUUAACCUACACAACUGAAACUCGAGUUAAGAACCGGAAACAGAAUCCAAUUCAACCAAACCGAAUCGAACCGAACCGGAGUUUUUAUCCAAUGGUGAAGCAAGCGAUGAAGGAAGAGGAGAAGAAGAGAAACACGGCGAUGCAGUCAAAGUACAAAGGAGUGAGGAAGAGGAAAUGGGGAAAAUGGGUAUCGGAGAUCAGACUUCCACACAGCAGAGAACGAAUUUGGUUAGGCUCUUACGACACUCCCGAGAAGGCGGCGCGUGCUUUCGACGCCGCUCAAUUUUGUCUCCGCGGCGGCGAUGCUAAUUUCAAUUUCCCUAAUAAUCCACCGUCGAUCUCCGUAGAAAAGUCGUUGACGCCUCCGGAGAUUCAGGAAGCUGCUGCUAGAUUCGCUAACACAUUCCAAGACAUUGUCAAGGGAGAAGAAGAAUCGGGUUUAGUACCCGGAUCCGAGAUCCGACCAGAGUCUCCUUCUACAUCUGCAUCUGUUGCUACAUCGACGGUGGAUUAUGAUUUUUCGUUUUUGGAUUUGCUUCCGAUGAAUUUCGGGUUUGAUUCCUUCUCCGACGACUUCUCUGGCUUCUCCGGUGGUGAUCGAUUUACAGAGAUUUUACCCAUCGAAGAUUACGGAGGAGAGAGUUUAUUAGAUGAAUCUUUGAUUCUUUGGGAUUUUUGAAUUCCCAAACAUAAUAUUUUUUUAGAGCGAACUGUGAGAUUUUCCUUGGAGUCAUGGAGAAAUCUGGAGAUUUUUUGUAACACGGAGCUCCAAUGACCCGGGAAUUUCUUUCGUUUCGGAUCCGAAUUUGAUGUGGAUCAUAUUCACACCUAUAUUUUUUCAUUUUUUUGUUGUAAAGAAAAAUCGGAUAAGAUUCUAGUAAUAAAUGUUAAAAGUCCAUUUCAUUAUUCUGAAGAAUAUCCUUCGAACACGAUGAGUUUGGAAGAUUAUAUUAUCCGGCCCAAAAUCUUAUAGUUGGGCCUUAGUCAUUAAACAUUUUUCUCAGCCCAUUGUUUUAAAAAUUGAUUUUCGUGAUAAAGUAGUUAACUUAAGUGAAGUACGAAGGUUCCCUUGGCCUAAUUAAAACACAAGGGGGUUUCUAUAAAUGAAAUAUGAUAAAAUAUCUUCCAAGCAUUUCGAUAGUAUUGAUGACAAUUACAAAGUUCAACAUCAAUAAGUCAAGAAAUUAGGAUUGGAAAUCAAGGAAGAGAAACGGUCUUCAAAGAAAAUAGAAUUGAAUCGAGAAAAAUAUCAGUAAUCGGAAAAAAAAAUGAAAAAAAAUUGGGGUGGAUAAGAUUCCCAUCAUUUUCAAAUUGCCACCUGAUUUUCGGCUUAAAUAAGAAAAACCAUCACUUUCAAUAUAAACCACUAUUUCAUUCGAGACAAAAUAAAAAAGAAAAAAUAAAAACCACUAGCUAAACUAAUACUAAUAAUCUAGGUGCUAAUAAAUACUAGAAAACAAUCCACAUUUCAAGUAUAGAUGAAUUGGUCUAUUAAUAUAAAAUACGGUGAAUUAAAAAAUAACACAAUUAAAUUUACAUAAAAUUUAAAAAUAUAUAUCAGGUACAUCACAGAAUAUAUUUUUACAUUAGAGAAAGUCUUGGAUUCCCAAUAAUAUAAAACAAAAUAUCAGAAAAAGACAUUUGAAUUCUUGAUGUGGGUCCUCACGGUCCUACCACACUCCAAUGAAAUGCUUAAAAAAAAAGAAGAAAAGGAAUCAUUACAUAAGAAAAGAAAAAAUAAUAUCUGAGCCUGCUCAUAUCAAUAAUUGUGUAUAUAUAGAAUUAUAUAGAUGAUGUCGAUAAAAGAAACCAAACAAGAUAAAUAAAUACAAAAAUAAUAAUGGUGAUGGUGGGCCGUUCUAUAAACUUCAAUCAUUAAUCAUAGCACACAAAAUUCCAAACUUGAGAAAUAUAAUCAGUGGGCUAAACUCUAAAGUCUCUCUACCUUUCUCCAUCUCCUUCUUCUUCUUCUAUCAGAUUCUUUCUUUCCUAUUACCUUUGCCUUCUUCUUCUUCCUUUCCUCUUUCUCUAUCUUCCUCUCAAUUCUUUUACUGUUUAUUUUCUUUGUAAUCAACAACAGUUUAACUCUUCUUCUUCUUUUCUUUAUCAAGAACAGUAGUUUCUCAAUUCUUGAUUAUGAUACUAAGCAAGAGACCUCAUCUAAUGAUCCGUAAAUUGUCUGAGAUGUUGGUUCCAAGAAGCAGAUCUGCUGCUAUUAAACCGGAGGAGUACACGGCCAGUCCGAGAAGUCCGUUGGAUUUGAACUUCCCCUCCCCGGUUCACUCGAAGCGGUUCGGUUCUGGUGGUGUCGGUUUGGGUAUUGUUGCUGCGUUGGAGGAAACUAGCAACGGGAUUAACCGGCAUGAUCCGGUUCGUUACUCCGGGAGAUUCAGGUGCCCGGAGAUUGAUCUGUCGGAUGAGGAAUACACUUAUGUUACGAGCCCAAACGGGCCGACCAAAGUGUAUUACAACGACGACGGGUUUGAAUUGUCUGAAAAUGAUUAUCGGAGAGUUCAUAAACCGAUGGUUACCGUCGAUGAACCACCGGUUAUUGAAAGACAGAGUGUUAGGGGUCCAACAGAGUUUCUGAGUUCGUGUUGCUUGUGUAAGAAGAAACUUCAAGGCAAAGACAUAUACAUGUACAAGUAAGUUUCAUCGCAUUAUUGCUUCUUGGAUCUUUGUUAAAUUGGAGACUAAUUCAAUAUUUUAUUGGUAUUUUUUCUAGAAACUGAUCCUUUUUUUUUUGGGUUGUGUGCAGAGGAGAGAUGGGAUUUUGUAGUGCCGAAUGCAGAUCAGUGCAAAUAAUGAAUGACGAACGACAAGAGCAAUGUAAAACGCAAGUUUCAAGAAACGCCGACGUUUUGAGCUCUCCUUACGCCGCCGGACAGAGAUUAUCUGCCGGAGUAUUCGUAUUUUAGGAUGAUCACAAUUCACAAUAAUACGAAGAGAAGUAUAUUUUAUUUAUAUAUAAAAAAAAAAGUGAUCAUCAUUCCAUUUUACCUUAAUAGAAGAAAAAAGGUUAGAAAAUAACAAAAAAAAAAAAAGUGAAAUUUUUGGUUAGGUUAAAAAGCACAUUGUAUAGAAGUUUGCUUUUUGUUAACUUUUAAUACCGAGUAAUGUUUAUGGCUUUUCCUCGGAAUCACAUAAAUCAAUAAUCAUUUCGUGAAAUAGCUUUGUAGAACAAGUAUGUAUGUAUAUAUGCCAAUUUCUCAAUUCCCUGUAUCCAAAACAUUGAAUCAAUCAAUUGAAAAUGUAAGAUUGUGCAAUACACAUGUCUUUUUUUGUUUUUUCCACAAGUCUAAAACUUUGUGGCUAGAAGACUUGUUUGAAUAUGUUUACACUUUUUGAUCAAAAAUACAAAGUCCUGUGGGUUUACUUCUGUUUUAUUUUAAAGAAAACGUUACCAAUCAAAAUAUUUAUAGAGGUAUAAAAUUAAAAUUACGUUCAAAAAUGUAAUGUGUUGCUAAUUUGCUAUUACUCGAGUUCAGUUUCUUAAUUACAAACAACUUAAAUUAUCUUUCAAAAAAUAAUAGAGAACGCGUACUAUCAUUUUAAUGAAGAAACCAAAAUAACGUUUUAAUAAAUUUAAGACUUGAAGAAACACAAUUAUGAGUUUUAAAUCAUUAUGAUUCUUAGUGCAAUGUAUGCACGUGGGCCCUUAAAUAUGCAACUUGUUGUAUCCUGGCCCGUUGUCAGAAAUUAAUAAAAGAUCCUUUUCCCCAACUAAAAAAACAAUGAUAUUUUGGUAAAAACUUUAGUCCCUACCAUUUUGAACAACUUUGAUUAGAUGAAGUCCGGGGCCGAUUCUGUCCGAUCCAAAUUACGUAGUCUUGGCGAUUUGUUAAUGCUGAAAAAUUCAGUUAUUUUUUUCCAAAUCGGAUAAAAUUGGAUCUUAGGUUCUUCGGGCUUAUUAAUCAUAACGAAUUUCGGACCAGUCUUUGGACCAAAUUUACGUUUUGUUAGUUGGAUGAUCAUUGUUCAAGACCGAACAAAUCAUUGUUCAAGACCGAACGAAAAAAAGUUAUCGUGGGUCAGAAUUCCCGUGGCCUACCAAGCCUGGUCUGAUCUACUCCACUUAUUGGAUAUUUAUGAAGCUCUUUUUAUUAUGGACUUCGGAUAUUUUACAAAGUUAUAACUAGUAUUUUGGGAAAAACAAAAUUGUAACUGGCUUGGUAUUUUAACCAAAAAUAGUCUACAUAGUUUGUGCCAUGUAUUUAACAACAAAACGAAAAUGCUAAUACUAUAAUGGAUAGAUAGGUUAAAACGUAUUUUGAACAAUAGCAGACUUGUUAAAGAAAAUCUUUCACACGACAAUACUUGAUAGAAAAUCAUCAUUUUUUAGACAUUUCUUUAUUUUCGAGAAUGCUUUAAGUAUUUCUGUUCCUUAACUGUAAGCUUCAGCUCUCAAUAAGUGACGAACAAACAAUCGGAUUAAAUAAACUUGGAUUAUAUUAAUGGCCAUCAACACAAAAACACAAGUGAUGUUUCUUACAAAAGUUGCAAGCUAAUGUUGAGAUCGGCAGAGGAAAGGGUUAUACACACUGGCUAAAACUUAAACCCCAGAAGCAAACAUUGAACACUAUUGAUAUUGAUUUCAUACAAAUAUAAUGAGUUUUCGGGGGAGUUAAACAAACAAAACUACUAGGGGUGAAAUUAAUCUAUAGAAAAAAUGAACAGAGGAGCAGCUUGAUAUUUGUAACGAUGGAGCAUCAGAAGAAUCUUACAAGAAGGUCUCUCAAGUUGUGCCUUCUGGGUCGGACAGGCUCGAAGUUUACCGUGAACUGAGCCAAGCUGGGUUAGUAGGCUUGGAAGACGCUUCAGCUGAACCGUCUAUUUGGUAUGGUGCCUUUGAUGUGAUCCUGUUAAAGGUUUACGAGUAGGAUAUUGAGAAAUUCGCUUAACAAGAACUUAUGGAAUAACAAGAUAUUAUGUUUUCAUUAAAAUGCAUUACCUAUCCUUCCUCUUCUCAAGGAACCGAUGAAGUGAAGCUCUUCUUGCAAUCGGGAGUUCUACAAAUCAAAAAGAGAGAAAGUUAGAGAAAUAGGACUAAGCCAAGCUCAGAGAUGGUUGAACCAAAAGAGGCUGAGAUCAAUUACCGCAGGCUAAAGAGGCCGGGUUAGGCUGAAUUGGCUCUUGUGCUGCGGUUUUUGCAGGACUACAAACAGGAUUUGGGCUAGAAGCAAUCUCUUUUUGAGAAUAAGCACUAUGGUUAUUGUUUACUUCAGCUGUGAAACAUGUGAAGCUUUUGGCACUUCCUUUGUUAGCCAAAUCAAUGACUUCUUUAGCUUUCUCAGCAGAAAAAUCAUCAAACACCAUAACUCGACCACCGUAGAAUAUAGUCAACGGAGCAGAUUGAGACUCUGGCUUCACAGAUCUGUUCAAAAUCACACAAAAAUUAGUUAAACUGAUGAAACAUAGCUUACUAUAUGAGACGAUUCUUUUCACUAUAUACAUAUAAACACAUACUUAGUAGUCUCUUUGAUCAUCUGUACAUCUUCUUUGGUCCCAGAGGAAGAGGAAGAAGAAAAGCUUGAUUGUCUCGGAAACAUAGUCUUCGGUUUAAUGUCUUCUUGACCAGCAGAAGAAUCCAUUCCUGAAGCUUCACAAGGGAACAGAUUCAUCAUUGUAGGCUGACGUGAACCUCCUGCGAAAAUUGAUCCAAAAGUAAAGAUUAUUAUCAUUCACCAAUCUCUCAAACAACUGCAAAACAAAAUCUACUUAAUGACUAAACCAGGCCUAUGGCUUUAGAGGAUUAUGCUUAAACCAAACACAGAACCAUCUCCACAAAUUCAUACACAUACAUACAUAUAUAGAAAUUGAUUCAAAAUCCAUUAAUCAUCGAUUCUCUACAACGAUUCAAUUUCCAGACAACAUGUAAUCGAUUCAUAAUUCGUAAUUCGCAACAGGAAACUCAAAAUUCGCAGAAACGAAAUGAACAGAUCUAAAAGAGAAAGGUUGAUUACCAUUAACGUCGGGCUUGCAUGUCAUCCCUAAGCUCAGAUCUCCAAAACUACCCUUCUCCUUCAGGUAACGACUCAAUCGAGUACAUGUUUGUGAAAAGCUCGGUUUACGACCAGAGAAGUCCCAACACUCGGCAGAAAAACUCGACAUCGUUGAAACCGAAAUUGAAAUCGUUUCGAUUGAGAAAUUGGAGCAAAAGGAUCUUCCUUCCUGAGUUGUUGAAUUUUCUCGAAUCUUAUAAAAAAACUUAGGGUUCUUGUUUAUCUUUCUCUGCCAAGUGCGUUUUGUCACGAGGAAGAAAUGGAGGACCUCUUUAUUACUUUUUUUUCGCUGGUUGCAGAUACGGAAAUUAGUAAAAUAUACUCUUAUAGUAUUAAUUAACAUAGAGACAUUUAAAACACGUGUUUUAAUUUAAUGUUUUAACGGCAGACCACUGUUUCAGAUCACCACCGUCACCCACGUCCCCACGCUUCACACUUGAAAUAACCAUUUCACCCUCUUACUACUCCUGUUUUUACCAUUUUACCCUUACAAGAUGUUCAAAUAAAAUAAAAAAUUAUGAAAACGUAAAAUCCUAAAAUUAAUUAGUUCAAACAAAUCAAUGUUCAGAUGAAAUUUGAUUAUGAUAGUCUUUCAGUUAUACCAUUUAGUUGGUUCAUAUAUCCUUUUUUUUAAGAUGAAUCUCUUGGCAUUAAUUUAUGUAUUUUUAGCACUAUUAAUUAGUCUACUAUUUUAAUCUCAUAGACCGGCGUGAUAUUUUAGCACUCAAAGAGAAUUAACGGUAUGAUUUGGGGGAAAAAAGAGGAUUAACGGCGUUAGAUAGAGGGAACACGGUGUGGGUCUUACAUAACCAAAACUCCACCACCAAUGCAAAUUUGAUCCAUAAAUCACGUUUUGUAUUUUCCCUUUUAUUAAUUUUUUUUUAGUGUUUUAUUUAUGACAACAGUAAUAAAUAAUUACAAAAAGCGGGAAGAGCACGUCUCCUCCAUGAAUCGCGACCUUACACGUGUCUAACUUAACUGCCCACAUUUGAGAGAAUUUUUCUUGUUGGUGUCGUAGUCAGAGUAAUCACCUGUUACGCGGCUUAUAUAGCAGCUGUGUUCUCCUACGCACAAUAGCCGUUGAUCCUAUCACUCUGUCUUUUAUUCUCUUGUUAUUAUCCCAUGCGUUUGUUAGGAACACACAAAUAAGUUUGAUUUUCUUUUAUAACGUAACGUCCAACUUGUUAUUUUAUUGACUUGGAUUGUAGUAAUUGCUAACUCAUUACAGGUACAUCGAGAUAACGUAAGGUUCAUAGAGUGGCUCGUGAGAAAAUAAGGAUGAUUGGUUAAUUUGGUUUUUAACUGUUUUAUAAACAUCUUCACAAAAUUUUAUACAUCACAAACAUAUCCAUAAGAAACAAAAUCAGAAGAAGCUGCAGGUACAUACAAUUACAAGGAAGAGGGGUCACAAGAAGAACCCAGAGCGCAUAAAGACAUCAAAGUCUGGAUAUUAUUUAGAGUAUGCAACCAAAAAGAAGAAGGCAAGUGGGGUGGUCACAAAAAUGCAAGAUAGAGGUCACAAGAAGAAUAGAAGAACAUAAGCUAAUUAAGGAAUAGUACUCUAUAUUCCUGUUUUUACUGUAGAAACUUUAUCUACUUAUGGCUCUCUUAUACAAGGCUGAUUGAUACCCUUUUAGCCAUGUUUUUAUACUUGCUCUUGGUUUUCACAGCUGAUUCAUUCCUCUUCUUUCUUUCACAUAUUUAACAGAAAAUAAGCUUACAUAUGAAAGUGGUAAAACAUUGGGCCCUUGGAAUAUAUUUUUUUAGUUUUUACCUUUCAAAAGAUGAUUUAGUUACUCUCUAUAUAUGUAAUUAACAAAGGGAAAACUGUCAAGAGCUACUAAAUUUAAAAUUGAGAAUUGAUUUGGCAUUUUUUGAGAUUUCAUGUUAAACAAUAGAAAUGUAAAGACUACAAAGAUUUCCAAUAAGAAGGUAUCACAAGAAACAGAAUUUUAAUGGCGAAUCCAAACUCUGAUAUCUCUAGCACGUUUUAGCUCCUGUCCAAGUCUUUGGCUCAUCAGAUCUUGAUCCUAAGAAACUUAGCUUAGCUCUUGGUAGUUGAACAAACUCUGUUGAUUCCCUCGACGUAACACUAGCAUAACAUGGGAAACUUCUUGUAAAACACUGCACAUAAUUUAAACACUCAGCUUCAUAACAAAUUCUUAGUCCAUCCCAAAUCAUUUUAGAGCAUUUCUGGACCGACAAUACUUCAAAGGGAACUUGCACAAACUUCCAAUUCAUUAUUGCCAAUGAUCCAUCUCAGCCAAAGUAAUAAAUAUAGAAAGGUCAAAAGAGUUAACUGUCCUUCAAUUCCUCUAAGAAUCUGAUGAUACACAAAUGUACAAUGGAUGUAACUUUUUACCUUACAGCAAGUUAUACAAUCAGGUUUGGAGUACAAGCAACUGCUUUCGCUUUCACUUGUAAGGAGCAAAAAUGAUGCUGGAGUUAUGACCACCAAACCCGAAUGAAUUUGACAAGGCUGCUUUAAUGUCCAGUCUCUCCUUCUUAGGACCCACCAGCAGCUUUGUAUCCUGCUCCAAUUUCAUUUCACAGUACGAUUAUUAAAACUCCCAAGAGUUUUUUUUUACGAACAUUAAAAGGUCUUUGUAUAGGUAUUGAACUCAUAUGAAACUAACAUACCACUCCACUGUCUGGAUUCUCGAGGUUGAUAUUUGGAUGAACCCAUCCGGUCCGUAUCGCCUGUAGAUAGCAACAGAAUAUUAACAUUAAAAAUGCGAAGAUUGCACAUAAUUUCGCUCUAUGCUAAAACUUGGUUUCAACAACACUUCCUUCCUUGUAGAUACACCGAGUCAAAUGAGUUACCUGCACAGUUGCAACAGCCUCCACGGCCCCAGCAGCUCCCAGCAAGUGUCCAAUCAUAGAUUUUGUGGAAUUUACCUUAAGCUGCCACAUCGAGAAAGAUCAAGAAAAGCACAUAAAAAGGCACUUCGGAAUUUUGUAACAAAGAACUGAAGCUACCUCAGGAUUUUGGCCAAAACAGUGAGCAAGGGCUUGGUAUUCCUUAAUAUCUCCAGCAUGCGUUGAGGUUGCAUGUGCAUUUAUGUAAUUUAUUUGUUCCUUGGAAAUCCCAGCACUAGCUAACGCUCUCUCAAUACAGAGAAUAACACCAGCCCCUGCGGAUUUAAGAAAAAUGGGAUAAUGACAAAAAAAUUAUAGAAAAAAGAGAUUUCAAAUUUGUAGUUGACUAGCAGACUAAUAUAAAUUAGGGGAAAAUGAAACUACCAUCAGGGUGAGGCUCGGUCAUGUGAUAGGCAUCACAUGUGAAACUCCCACCGAGGAACUCUGCGUAGAUAGUUGCACCUCUUUUCUGAAAGAAAAGCAGAAUACUUAUGUUCUCACAACUCGUUCCAUAGCAAGCAAUAAAAAAAGCUUUGGAUAUAAGUUUCUUUUGUGAUUUAAAAAUGGGAAACAAGAAAUGACAGAAAGAACGAAUAAGUUAUAUACCUUAGCAUGCUCGAGUUCUUCCAAAAGUAGAACUCCAGCUCCCUCUCCCAUCACGAAACCAUCUCGAUUCUGUCAUGCAAUCAAGACCAGGUUAACAAAACAAGAAGAAUUUCCAAACAUAAUACGCACGUUUCCUCACACUUUCUUUCCUACAACAUUACAAUGUAAGGGAAAUUCCUGUUGGCAAAAACUCGAUACAGUGUUUCUAGCAUCCACCAAGAUUAAAACAAAACCAUAGAAGGGUACUAAAACAUGCAAGUAACAAAAGGAAUAGAAGACAAGACACGAAAUUGUUUAAACUUACGGUAUCCCAAGGACGUGAAGCUUUUGUGGGAUCAUUAUUCCUUUGUGAAAGAGCCCGGCAUGCAACAAAACCUCCCAACCCUGCAUUGGUACACAUACGAUACGAUUUCACGUCGCUUAAAUUUCAAGAAUAGAUGGGACAAUGUAAAAUAUAAGAGAACGAGUUAGCACCUAUUGGAAUAAUAACUGCAUCUGAGCCACCACAGAGCAUUACAUCCUGAAAAGUUUAGUGGAAAGACAAACAGUCUAUAAGUAGAAACAGAGGAAGUCUACCAAACUGUCGAAUUUCCAAGUGUAUGGAGGAUACUUACAGCUUCACCUUUAAUAAUGUGGUUUGCUGAAUUCAGAAUGCAAAAGUUGCUUGUGGCACAAGCAGUUGAAAUAGAAUAGUUUGGCCCCAUCCAUCCCUGAUACAUGACCACAAAAUAAAAAGGGUCAGUACUAAAUUGCUGGUGGUCAUCCAUAAUAUAUUAAGAGCAUUUCAAAUUUAAUCAGACCAGAUCCAUGGCAAGCAUAGCAGAACCCAUGUUUGUUGUCGCAAAAGGUACACAAAAAGGAUUCAUCUUCUUGUAAGAGAUUCUCAGAGCUUCAAUAGCAUCGUAAAAGACCUGUAUUAUUAUAAGAUUAUUAGAAAUGCAACGAUUCGCAACAGACUUCCUAAUUUUUAGAUUCAAUAUUCAUGUGACUCUUUUGUUAGUGAAAGCAUGGUUAAAUGAAGGAACAAUCAGGCGAGAUACUGAACAGAAACCUUAAAAUGAAACUGUUUUCAUACUUUCUAUACAUUCAAGCCCGGGCUCGAGAAAGUACCUUCAUUCCUCCCAUUGCCGAGCCAAUCAAAACUCCACAUUUGGUUUUGUCAAACUCUGCCAUUACUUCAUCAGUAACCCCACCAUCAGCCAAAGCUUUCUUACCAGCUGUGAGAAGAUAGAGCAUGAAUUUGUCCAUCCUUUUAGAAAGUUUUGGAGCAACCCAUCCUUCAGUCGAGAAGCUUUUGAUCUCUCCCGCAAUUCGCUUGACAAAGGUAAAACAAAGAAAGAUAUUCUAGUACACACAAAAGCAAACGGAGAAAUUCCGCACACCAAAAAGCUUCCAAGAGAUCCUGAUAUAAAUAAUACGUACCGUAGGAAAUUCAGAACAAUCAAAAUUUUCAAUCUGGCUAAUACCACUGUUGCCUUGUAGCAAAUUCUCAUAGAAGGUAUGUGGGUCAUGACCCAAUGAUGUUUCAACUCCCAUGCCUGUCACUACAACUCGACGCUGCUCCGUAGGUGGUUUCUUGUUAACCGCAGCUUCCUUUUCCAUCUCCAUCACUGCCAUGGCUCCACCUAAAACCCACAAAGCCAGUUGAUGGUAGAUAAACUUAAUCAGCUACUAUCCACAAACCACAUCUCAAUAGCAAGAUAAACAAAAGAAUCACAGCCAACUUCAAAAUUUAGAUAUAAAAGUUCACUGCCAUUUGGUCAGCUUUCGAAGCUCUGUAUCAUCUAGAGACUAACCUCACAGAGUUUGCUUUCAUAUGAAAGAUGAUAAAACAUGGAAUCACAAUAAAAAUUCAAACUUUCACAUGUCAGCUGCUUCCCACUUCAACUUUACCUCUAAAUUUCAUCACUAACAUAAACCCAUAACAACAUCGAACUAUAAAAACUAAACCUUGCCACAUAAAAACAAAACCCCAGAUUGGAAGAGAAAAUAAAAAAAGGAGAUAAAUGUAAUACCGGAGCUAGCAGCACGAUUCAAUCUCCUCUGGUUUCGAUUCAAAGAAACACUAUUCGAUCCAAAGAGAGAAGACAAUGCAUUGUUGUUGUUGUAGUGAGUACAAGGACCAAAAUCCAAACAAGAAGUGACGAGAGCCUGAAUGCUAGCGGAUCCAGAAGCGACAGAGCAUUUGCUAAGCUGCCUCCUUCGCCGACUCCGCCCACCAGAUUGAAGAGCAACAGCCUGACGGCUAUCUCCUCCACCGUGAGAGACGGACAUGCAAGCAGCAACAAACCAGGUACAUAACGGAGAUGCGUAAGAGGAAGACGCACCCACCAUGGCAUAAAAAGGAAGAGGCUUUGAGAAGAACCCAGAUGAGAGAACAAAGGAGAAAGCGAGAAAUGGGUGAAGAGAAGAAGAGAGAAUCUAGCAGAGAGAAGGCAAAUGGGAUUCACGAGAGAUUUAAGAGAAAUCGAUCUGCGAUCUCUCUCUUCUCUCUCUCUUUCAGGAAGCGUGCAGAGAGCUUCGAUGCGUUAAAUCGUGCGUGGAGACGCCAAAAAUCCUUCUCUGAAACAAACAGACAGAGAGAGAGAGAGAGAGAUACAACACUAUACAAAUACCAAUCGACACUUCAAAUCUCAAUAUUAUCGAUGACCAUUAAAUUUUAUUUAUUUUUAUCUCAAUCUCAAUUUUGUAACUAAAAAAUAUAUACUAUAACCUUUUUAUCUAUUUUUGUUAAAGUUGAUGAUAUUUUAUCAAAAAAUAGCCCCACUUUUCAAAACUAAAAAACAAAAUAUUCCUAACUUAUUUUCUUUUAUUAGGUUUAGUUUUCAAGUACAAAUCACAAAAUUGAAAACAGUAAUUUCACAGAAUGAUAGGAAAUCAUAAUUUAUGUUGAUGUAAUGAUAUAAUCAAAAAAUAAUUAUACAGUAACGCUGCUGAUUCAAUAUGUUCCACUACAAUUUUUGUUACAUACACAGAUUUGGUGACCUCGGUUUAAUCGAAGGAAGGACACUUGGAAAAUCAUUAUUUUAUUUUGGAUUACUUGUUUUUUGUUUUUGUGGCAGUGAAGUGUUACAGACUUGGGAUAGUGAUAUGGCAAAGGAGCGCCACUGUUUUUUUUUUUAACAUUUAUUACUCUCAUGAUUUUUUGAAGUGACUAAUCUUCAGAAAUACACGUAUAAAGUACGUAUUUUAUACAUGAGUUUACUAGUAGUAGUGUUCAUAAAUAGGAAGAUCAUCAAGUGGUCCGGUCCGGUGAUGGUAUUGGGAAGUAGAUCCAGAAAGAAAAGAAGAAAAAACAUUGAUAAAAGUCAUGGAUUUGAUACGUUAAAGCUGACUAAUAAAUAUAAUAGACCCCUCAAAUUCAUUAAAUUCACACAAUGAAUGUCUCUUUUGACUUGUGUAUAAUCAAAAGUUUGAUAGGAUACACGUGAUUUGUUUUUCCUACUGAUCGAAACAUUACACACAUCAAGUAGCUCUAAUAUUGUAUCAAACCAAGUUGUAUUAGAGAAUUGGUUUAUGUUGGUUUGAAAUCCAACCCAAGAGUUCAGGUUUUUUGUUUUGUUUUUAAGUGAUGGAAAUGGAAUAAAAGAAAACAGAGGAAGCAGGAAAGAGGGGAGCAAGCGAAUAUGCAUGGAAAGAGUCAAAGUGGGUAAGCUCUCUCAUACCUAACAUUCCAUUUUCGCAUCACCAUUCCCAGCUAAACCAGCCUAUUUUAUGCACACAUACAUACUAUCUCACACUUGUCGAUUUCUGAUUCGUUCGGUAUGAGCCCAUCAAAAUCAACAUUACUACUUCAAUAUCAAAGGAAUUAGAUAGAUACACAAAGUGAUACAAGUGUGUUCAGGUAUUGCUGCUUAUCCACUAUCCAUGAACACCUUUUGAAAGAAGCAAAGUUUUCACUUUCACCUGAAAUCUAACUGAUAAACGAUUCAGAAGUGCAUUUGUCUGAUCACAAUUCAUAAGUGCAUUUGUUACAAAAGCAUAUCAACUUUGCGUUCCAUUCAAACAAAACAGAGAUUGUAUUAGUUCGUCUACACAUAAACAUUAACAUGAAACAAAAGACCGAUAAUAGACAAGAAAAGUUUUUAAAAAAAAUGGAGGCAGAGGAGUCUACUUGAAGAGUUGAUCCAAUGAUAUGUAAAACUCUUAACGCUUGGAGAAUUGUGGGGCUUUACGCGCCUUCUUGAGCCCGGCCUUCUUUCUUUCAACCACUCUCGCAUCUCUAGUGAGCAAACCUUCCUUCUUCAAAGGCGAUCUGUGGUCUGCACUUACCUUCAGGAGUGCACGUGCGACUCCCAAGGUAAUUGCUUGAGCUUGACCUGAGAGACCGCCUCCAUGGGCUUUCACAAAUAUGUCGUAGCUAUUCUCAUAUCCUAAAGUCACCAAUGGUACUUUAACAUACUGAAGCCACAAUGGAUUUCCCUGAAGGUACUCCUGAAAAAGGUUUACAAUGAUCAUCAUCAGCAAUAUACGUAUGGAUUCAAAUCUUUCCCAUUCACAACAAAACAGCUUGUCAAAACCCCCCAAACUUUUAUCAUAAUCUCUCCUUGUUAACACUUUCUCAGCCACUUAUCCUAAGUCUAAACAGCCUAGAAUUUAUCAUAUGAACUAUUUGUUCAGAAAUUUCUUCCAGUUUCACCUUAAUCUAUAACGUGCUGAUGCAGCUCCCAGGUCACAAAGAACUACAUACAGAUAACGUCUGAUCACAAGACUAAUACCGAUACAGUUUGAUCACUUUCUCAGCCACUUAUCCUAGUCUAAAGUCUAAAUAGCCUAGAAUUCAUCAUAUAAACUAUUUGUUCAGAGAGUUCUUCCAGUUUCAACUUAAUCUGUAACGCGCUGAUAUAACUCAUCUAUCAAAAAGAAGUACAUAAAGAUACAGUUUGAUCACAAGACUAGUAUACCCUACAUAACAGAGAAUAUCUUCAUAAAGGUCAAGACUUUCUCUCCUACAAACUGCUACAAUUUAUACUACUAAAUGCUUCAAUCGAUUACACACUAUGCAUGAUGUCAGUCUCUUGCAGGUAUCAGAUAUUCAUAUAAACCAAGAAUAUGUUCAAACGGGGGUAAGUGGACUGCUUUCAUAGCUUUAGCUGUUAAAAUACCAAUUUCAAGUUCAAAUCUUAAUCUCAUAUGAGUAGUCAAUUCUCAGCUGUAUAAACUCCAAAUUCAAGGCCUAAGCAAACACAUCAAGCGACUAAGCAACAGUGUAAAAGCCAAUAAGAUAAUGAAAUUAGAAAUAAAUUUACCUUGGCAUCACGAUAGUUGAUGAUAACCUUCCCAGUACCUUCCUGAAGAACAACUCUAGCGAUUGCGCACUUACGUCGUCCAGUGCCAAUAAUCUUCUGAGCAGCAAAUCCUCCGGGAAGCCUCGAUUUGACGUAUUUCUUCAGUUCAACUAUCUCCUCCUCCUCCGGUGGAGCAGAUACCGUGGCGGUGAUAGAUAGAGAAGCGCGGCGUGCGGAUUUCGCCGGUAAUGCGAAUACUGAAUUCGCGCGGGGGAAGGAAAUGGUGUUAGGUCUUUGAGAAACUUGGGAGGAGAACGAGAGUGAAGAGAGAGAAGAGGCGAGGUUCGUAAUCGACGCCAUUGUCGCUGAACGAAG